Molecule: long non-coding RNA, 1167 nt
Filed under: Panax ginseng (ginseng)
Lineage: Eukaryota; Viridiplantae; Streptophyta; Magnoliopsida; Apiales; Araliaceae
Description: long non-coding RNA (PGIN_LNC010242)
Source: RNAcentral
CUAAGCCGCCUCAAACCAACAAAGAGAGAUGUUGAGCGGCGGUAAUAGCGGAGGUGCAGAAGAAGAAAAUGCUGAAGAUGGCGAGCGCAAUCAGGUUAUUUUCUUAAUUGUUCUAUUAUCAAGUAGUUGAGCAGCGGUAAUACAGAGGUGCAUAUACGUGAUAUGGUUUUUGUUUAUCAAACAGGCUCACUUAAUUAAAUCGGUCCUUGUUCAUGACAUUUCAGUAACAAAUCCAAGUUAUUCAGCUGGGGAGAGGUGAGUUGCUAGUAUUACUUGACAAUACUUUGUAUUGAUGCAUUUUAUUGCAUAAAAUUUUGUAGUCAACUGAUUAGGAGAGCUAAAAACCUAGCAGAUCCAUAUUUUUUUGUUCUUUUUAGUAUUUAUUAAGAACAAGCCGUUAAAAGGGGAUGGCACUCAUGCCUGCAGGCUUAGUUGAGGGUAGAAAAACUCCCGAGCCAACUCGCCCCUAAAAGCUAGGAUGACAAAACAAAAUUCUGGAGCACCCGAAAAAGUGGGAAAAUUCUAAAUAUUUGGUUUUAAACUUUUAAUACUAUUUUUGCAGAGGACAUAUAUGAGGAUUGAGGAAACUGGGAUUGAUGGUAUAAAUGCAAGCAGGUACUAUGCAAUUGAAGCAGAUGUUCUUAAACAAAGUUUCAAAUGCCGUGGACGUAAGUUUGUAUCUAAUAUAUCUUUUGGUAUUCUCAUCUAGGUGGAUUGGCACUGACUCAUAUGCUGACCUAGUGAGUUAUCUAGAGGAGGAAGACACCAUUUCAAAAUCAGUAGCAAAAACUUCAACAAGUAAAGGAAAGAAACCAACGUGGAAGAGUGGCAUUAAGAGGGAAUUGUUACUCAUCUGGUUUCUUCAAUAAAUCUCUCUUUGCUUACCAAAUAGAAAAAGAAAAAAAGAAAAUACCAAAGAUUCGGUUGACUUUAGCAUUCUAGAUGCAGAAAAUAAAAGAUUUAGGAUCAAGCCCUAAAGGUGAGGACUUUCAUUUAAUAAUUUAAAAAUUUUGUUGUACGAUUUGAGUAUGUGUGUAUAUAUGUUUGUAAGCGAAUCAUGUGUAUUUGAAGUAUCAUAAAGAUUAAAUGGUCUUUAUUUAUAAACCUCAGAAUUAAGAUCAUUAUGAUGUCUUAAUAAAUUAGAUCAACUGAAUGGUUAUGAGGUCU